Molecule: ribosomal RNA, 443 nt
Filed under: uncultured bacterium
Lineage: Bacteria
Description: partial 16S ribosomal RNA
Rfam family: Bacterial small subunit ribosomal RNA
Source: RNAcentral
CCUACGGGUGACAGCAGUGGGGAAUAUUGCACAAUGGGCGAAAGCCUGAUGCAGCAACGCCGCGUGAAGGAAGAAGGGUUUCGGCUCGUAAACUUCUAUCAACAGGGACGAAAGAAAUGACGGUACCUGAAUAAGAAGCGCCGGAUAACUACGUGCCAGCCGCCGCGGUAAUUCGGAGGGAGCAAGCGUUAUCCGGAAUUACUGGGUGUAAAGGGUGAGUAGGCGGCAUGGUAAGACAGAUGUGAAAGCCUUGGGCUUAACACGAGGACUGCAUUUGAAACUGUCAAGCUAGAGUACAGGAGAGGAAAGCGGAAUUCCUAGUGUAGCGGUGAAAUGCGUAGAUAUUAGGAAGAACACCAGUGGCGAAGGCGGCUUACUGGACUGAAACUGACGCUGAGGCACGAAAGCGUGGGGAGCGAACAGGAUUAGAUACCCGUGUAGUC